AAUCUUCCGCAAUGGACGAAAGUCUGACGGAGCAACGCCGCGUGAGUGAUGAAGGUUUUCGGAUCGUAAAGCUCUGUUGUUAGGGAAGAACAAGUGCCGUUCAAAUAGGGCGGCACCUUGACGGUACCUAACCAGAAAGCCACGGCUAACUACGUGCCAGCAGCCGCGGUAAUACGUAGGUGGCAAGCGUUGUCCGGAAUUAUUGGGCGUAAAGGGCACGCAGGCGGUUUCUUAAGUCUGAUGUGAAAGCCCCCGGCUCAACCGGGGAGGGUCAUUGGAAACUGGGGAACUUGAGUGCAGAAGAGGAGAGUGGAAUUCCACGUGUAGCGGUGAAAUGCGUAGAGAUGUGGAGGAACACCAGUGGCGAAGGCGACUCUCUGGUCUGUAACUGACGCUGAGGAGCGAAAGCGUGGGGAGCGAACAGG
Molecule: ribosomal RNA, 425 nt
Filed under: uncultured bacterium
Lineage: Bacteria
Description: partial 16S ribosomal RNA
Rfam family: Bacterial small subunit ribosomal RNA
Source: RNAcentral